This 301-nucleotide ribosomal RNA is filed under the name uncultured bacterium. RNAcentral describes it as "partial 16S ribosomal RNA". It matches the Rfam family "Bacterial small subunit ribosomal RNA", at positions 509 to 807 of the family's 1533-position model. The record is from RNAcentral.
CAGCCGCCGCGGUAAUACGAAGGGUGCAAGCGUUACUCGGAAUUACAGGGCGUAAAGCGUGCGUAGGUGGUGGUUUAAGUCCGUUGUGAAAGCCCUGGGCUCGACUUGGGAAUUGCAGUGGAUACUGGAUCACUAGAGUGUGGUAGAGGAUAGUGGAAUUUCCGGUGUAGCAGUGAAAUGCGUAGAGAUCGGAAGGAACAUCUGUGGCGAAGGCGGCCAUCUGGGACAACACUGACGCUGAGGCACGAAAGCGUGGGGAGCAAACAGGAUUAGAGACCCCUGUAGUCCCUGUCUCUUAUAC